AGCUCCAAUAGCGUAUAUUAAAGUUGUUGCAGUUAAAAAGCUCGUAGUUGGAUUUCUGGUAGGAACGACCGGUCCGCCCCGAAAGGGGUGUGUACUAGUGUUGUAUCCGGCCAUCCUUGCGGAGAACGUCUCUGGCAUUAGGUUGUCGGGGUCGGGAUCCGCAUCGUUUACUGUGAAAAAAUUAGAGUGUUUAAAGCAGGCAGUUGCUUGAAUACAUUAGCAUGGAAUAAUAAGAUAGGACUUUGGUGCUAUUUUGUUGGUUUGCACACCAAGGUAAUGAUUAAUAGGGAUAGUUGGGGGUAUUCAUAUUUAAUUGUCAGAGGUGAAAUUCUUAGAUUUAUGAAAGAUGAACUUAUGCGAAAGCAUUUACCAAGGAUGUUUUCAUUAAUCAAGAACGAAA
RNAcentral lists this ribosomal RNA (400 nucleotides) under phytoplankton environmental sample. RNAcentral's name for it is "partial small subunit ribosomal RNA". It matches the Rfam family "Eukaryotic small subunit ribosomal RNA", at positions 587 to 988 of the family's 1831-position model. The record is from RNAcentral.